Molecule: long non-coding RNA, 570 nt
Organism: Polypterus senegalus (gray bichir)
Lineage: Eukaryota; Metazoa; Chordata; Cladistia; Polypteriformes; Polypteridae
Exons: 2
Source: RefSeq, a predicted model, not a curated record
UGGCUCCAGCAGAACCCCGUGACCCUGUGUUCGGAUUCAGCAGAACAGAAGACUGAUGACCAUUCCACCUCUGACGUUACUUCUGUUGUUUGCCCUCCUGAACCUGCCCCUUCCUUCCAGGUUGUCAUAUGACCAGCAAUUUGGGCCACCUUGAAGUUACUUAUGUGUUAAACUUGAGUCUGAAAAGAUAUUUCUGCAACUAAUUGCAUGUUUUUUUUUUAUUUUGUGCAAACCUUUAAUUAUAUGGGGCCCUGACCCUUUCACGUUGUGUCUCUUUUUAUAGCAUACUGUAUAAUCAUUGAGCUAAACAUUAACCAAAUAUUUAUUUAUUUCUAUAUAAUACCAAUAUCCAUUGUUUUAAGGGUUCAAGAACAUCUAUUACAUGGAAGCUAUAAAGCUGUUUGCAACCUUUAGAGUUUCCAUAAACACUACAGCAGACACAAGUGGCCUAAAACAAUACCUCUCAAACAGCAAAUGAGAUGCUUUUAUUGACUGUCGGAAAUUACAGUUAAUGCUACAUUAAUUCCCCAAAGACUGAGCUGCAUAAGAAAUAAAAGUGUAAUUUGCAUA